GAUGAACGCUGGCGGCGUGCCUAAUACAUGCAAGUCGAGCGGUAAGGCUCCUUCGGGAGUACACGAGCGGCGGACGGGUGAGUAAUACGUAGGAACGUACCCCAAGUGAGGAAUAACCAGCCGAAAGGUUGGCUAAUACCGCAUAUGCUCUACGGAGUAAAGCAGCAAUGCGCUUUGGGAACGGCCUGCGUCCGAUUAGCUAGUUGGUAAGGUAAAGGCUUACCAAGGCGACGAUCGGUAGCUGUUCCGAGAGGAUGAUCAGCCACACUGGAACUGAGACACGGUCCAGACUCCUACGGGAGGCAGCAGUAGGGAAUUUUCCACAAUGGGCGAAAGCCUGAUGGAGCAACGCCGCGUGCAGGAUGAAGGCCUUAGGGUUGUAAACUGCUUUUAUCUGUGACGAUUAUGACAGUAGCAGAUGAAUAAGGAUCGGCUAACUCCGUGCCAGCAGCCGCGGUAA
Molecule: ribosomal RNA, 460 nt
Filed under: uncultured bacterium
Lineage: Bacteria
Description: partial 16S ribosomal RNA
Rfam family: Bacterial small subunit ribosomal RNA
Source: RNAcentral